UGAGAAAAUUCAAAAUAAGUUCAAAUACGUUGCGUACAAGAAAUCAAAAGUGUGACGAAAAAUGUGCACUGUUAGACAUCGAAACUAAAAUUCUGACAGGACACACGUUUCGAUAGUGAAAAGUUAAGUGCUUGCUGAUUGUGUUGCACAAGACAGCUGCUGCUUGUAUUAAGUAACUUGACACAAGAUUGAAACCUAUCUCAUUGCUUGCUAUCCAAUAACAACAAUGACAAAUCGCAGCACUAAAUAAUACUAAAAACUGUUGAACUUUUGAUAUGAACAUGGACAAGAAGUUGAGAACGCGCUUCAAAUAAAGAUAUGCCAGCCAGCGGACCUUAAAGUGAAUAUCGACACAAUUAUAAUGCUGCUCAUAAAUUGACGUUUAUAUCGGCAUAAAAGACUGUAAAUAAGAGGCAAAAGUAGUGACCAAGCAACGAUCGGAUUAUGAACCCUAAAAAGGGCGGUCAACAGUGUUGGUGUACUCAAAAGAGACAAGAGUCAAAAAUCGCACAGAGGUCGUACACAGUCACCAAGUAUCAAAUUUGUCUACCUUGAACACAGAUCCGCAACAGAAAAACAGGGAGAAACUUCAAUGAAAGUAAUAGCUUCAAAGGAGCGCAUGCCCACGCUACGCGAGACCAAUUAACAAUGUGAACUGCGUCAAGCAACUGUAAAAGAUAGACAAACCGUUAGAUUUGCUCUUCCGCUUAGAGUUUAUGUUCUGCUAUUUCUUUUUAAUCGCUUUUUGUGUGAACAAUUGGCUGGUUGAAGUGAUACUCCGACGUAAACAACAAGAUAAUUACGUACAAAAUGCAAAUAUAAAUUGGAUUCGGACUUAUUUUCUUAUGGAAUGAGUGA
Molecule: long non-coding RNA, 858 nt
Organism: Bactrocera tryoni
Lineage: Eukaryota; Metazoa; Arthropoda; Insecta; Diptera; Tephritidae
Exons: 5
Source: RefSeq, a predicted model, not a curated record